This 473-nucleotide ribosomal RNA is filed under the name uncultured bacterium. RNAcentral's name for it is "bacterial SSU rRNA". It matches the Rfam family "Bacterial small subunit ribosomal RNA", at positions 328 to 793 of the family's 1533-position model. The record is from RNAcentral.
GCAGAGCACUCCUACGGGAGGCAGCAGUGGGGAAUAUUGCACAAUGGGCGCAAGCCUGAUGCAGCCAUGCCGCGUGUAUGAACAAGGCCUUCGGGUUGUAAAGUACUUUCAGCAGUGAGGAAGGUGGGUAUGUUAAUAGCAUAUUCAUUUGACGUUAGCUGCAGAAUAAGCACCGGCUAACUCUGUGCCAGCAGCCGCGGUAAUACAGAGGGUGCAAGCGUUAAUCGGAAUUACUGGGCGUAAAGCGCAUGUAGGUGGUUGCAUAAGUUUGAUGUGAAAGCCCCGGGCUUAACCUGGGAAUGGCGUUGAAGACUGUGUGACUAGAGUCGGACAGAGGGUCGUGGAAUUUCCGGUGUAGCGGUGAAAUGCGUAGAGAUCGGAAAGAACACCAGUGGCGAAGGCGGCGACCUGGGUCCAGACUGACACUGAGGUGCGAAAGCAUGGGGAGCAAACAGGAUUAGAUACCCUGGUAG